RNAcentral lists this long non-coding RNA (369 nucleotides) under Prunus persica (peach). Its description in RNAcentral is "long non-coding RNA (PPER_LNC006974)". The record is from RNAcentral. Lineage: Eukaryota; Viridiplantae; Streptophyta; Magnoliopsida; Rosales; Rosaceae.
GCAGUUACGUGGUUGGACUGCAGCUAUCAUCCAAUGCAAUGGUACUAUUUCAGAUGGUAAGCAUGAACUGGAGAAUGGAGAUGCCAACGAAAAACAUAACGGCACAGAUCUCAUUCAAUGCGAUAACGCUAAGUUAGACAGUAAGCAUGAACUGGACAAUGGAGAAGCCAAACAAAAACACAAUGGCGCAGAUCUCAUUCAAUGCGAUAACGCUAAGUUAGAUAGCAAGCAUGAACUGGAGAAUGGAGAAGCGAAAGAAAACUUUGGCGCAGAUCCAGUAGUUUCAGCAAUGAAGAACCAAAGCCAAGAGACAAGAACUGCAGGUGAAAUAAAAACAAAUGAGAGGGAAGUGUAGGUUGUGGUGGCAAC